GCUUAGGGUUCGCGGCGGGCGAAAGAAAGAAGACCGCGGAGGGAAGGAAGACAGGGUUCGAAUUCAUGGAGAACGUAUUCCGAAGUCCCGCCACAGUCGAAACCCUAAACCCCCGGAUGGGAAGCUACUCGCGCCCCAUUCCUCCCCCGCGCCGGAGAUCCCAUCUCGACAGCGCGUCGUACCGCACUCUGGUUCGGAUCUUCUCCCUUUGCCUCGACGAGUCCCUCGUCCCCAUCGAAGAACCUUGCAAGGAUCCGAUCCUCGUGUCGGGUGCCGCUUCUCCUGAAGUCCCGAAGAGCUCGUCGGCUGGUAAAGACGACGUCGUUGAUUCACAUGGUGAUGGAAUCGUGGCAAAGGAGCUUCGGCGUGAUGACAGUGAGAGUGUUGAAUGUGGAAACGCUACGUUUAACUCUGAUUCGAAAACUGAGGGAAUUGAAGAGAAAUUUGGAGAUGGGACUGGCGGGAAUGGAGAGACGGUGAACGGCCUGGUGUGUGAACGGCCGCAAACGGAAUCUGGGGACGAUAAAGCCGAGGCUUCGAAUUCAAUGGAAGAGAUGGGGCAUCAGCGCGAGGAAACUGGCCAAUGUGUUGAUGGUGGACUUCAGGAAGGUCUGAUUGUCGAAUCUAAGUUAGAGACCGAAGUUUGUAUGGACGAAGCCACAGAACCUCCAGGUGAUAAUUUGAUCUUUGAUUUCCCUGAAUUGGUAGAAUUGCAGGACAGUAUAAUUGGCCUAGUUGGGGGAUCACACGGUGAAGUUGCUGAAGGCGUCUCUGGAGAAAAUUUAUCUCAAGUCCCUGGUUCCAAGGAUCAAGUCACUCACUUGGUGGAUGAAUCAGAACAAAGAAUGAAUAAUGAACUGAAAGAUGAAUGCGUUAAAGGAGCAUCGUCAGAGGUCUUGACAGAUGAAUUUAAUGCAUUAAGUGUUUCCCCAACUAGAAUGUCUUCUUCUAAUGAACUGCUACGUGAUAUCAUGUUUGAAAGGAACAGGGAAUGUACUAAUCCAUCGGCUACAUAUUUGUCUCCCAAUGAGCAAAUGUUAUUUAAACCUCAGAAAAACGUGUCCAAGUCAAUAAAUGAAACUGCUGAAAAUCAUCAACAAGAGCUUUUGGGUUUCUCCAUGAAACAGUUGGAAGAGAACCUGGCAGAUGCAUUAGUAGAUCCAAACAAUGUUGAAGAAAUUGAAGAAGGGCAAAUUCCUGGUGACUUUUGGAGUUUAAACGAGACUGAACCAGGGGUGCAUCAUAAUGCACUUCUUCAGGAUCAGAAGUUAGAUGAAGAAUCAUGUCACACUGACUUUCUUCAAAAAGAAGGUCCUGAUUGUUUGGCUAAGCUCUCCGGAAAGAACAUUAUGGCAAGAAAUAAUAAGUCGAAAGAGGAUGUUCUUUUCAUGGAGAUCAAUGAAAAGAUGGAUGGAAAUGAUUAUCUUUCUUCAGAUGAAAGAUAUUCAACUGCUGAAAUGAAAAAGAGUUGUAGUAAUGUGCCUGUGAUGUACUCUGAGCAGCAAACAACUGCAGUGAAUGCUUUUGGAUCAUGUGAAGAGAAGUUGACAUAUCAGAAUAAGGAAUCCAUUGUUGAGACUGUUAACGAGAAAAUCAAGAGGAGGAGAGGUCCUUUAACUGAGGAAAGAAAAGCUAAGAAAAAGAAGGCCAAGAAAAGGAAAAGAGCAGAGAAAGAGAGACAACAAGGAGUCAAGAGAUUGAAGCUGCAACCGGUUGUAAAGCCAAAAGCAGUAAAGCUCUGCAACUUCUAUCUGAUGGGUAGAUGCCAGCAGGGAGAUUUGUGCAAAUUUUCCCAUGAUGCUACUCCCCUAACAAAGUCCCAGCCAUGCAAGUACUUUGCUUGUGAUUCUUGCUUAAAAGGUGAUGAUUGUCCAUUCGAUCAUGAACUCUCCAAGUAUCCCUGUCACAACUUCCAUUCAAAAGGGAGCUGCCAUAGAGGAGACAGAUGCAAGUUUUCACAUAAGAUCUCAACUGUUGAAGGUUCCUCCAUGCCAAUUGCAAGCAAUUUAGUUUCUCCAUUAACAUCAGGAAAGUUCAAUGCGGGGAACCAAAAAAUUGCAAGUAAAAAACUUACAAAUGCCAGUAAUCCACCUAAAACUGCCACUUCAAGUACAAAAUAUGUCUUGCCUAAGCAGUCAGAAGGAAACUUGGUGAAGAUUGCGAAGGAACCCAUGCAAAUACCUAAUGGAAUACGUUUUAUUUCAUUUGGAAAUGAACUGUUAGAGAGUGGGAAGUUGCCUGCAAACAGCUUGCUUCCUGAGAAACAUGGGUGCAGUCAACAGAAACCAGAAAAGCCUUUAGCAGAUGGACAUAAAAAUGCUGUUUUCCUAAGUGAGAAAUCUCUUUCUAAACCACAAAUGGAAUAUAGUGUUUCUCUUCCUGCUACAAAUGCCUUUUCUGGUAACUAUUCGAAAAAUAAAAGUUUCAGUAUUGACCCUGCUUCCAGAAGCCUCCAAAGUGAAGUUUCAGAUGCAUCAAAAAUCUUGGAUGAGUUUUUAUUUGGUGCUACUGGCUAGAGGGUUGUUACAUUUGUUCUUACCAGCUGUAUAUUUCUAUUACAAUGAAUGUAGUGGUCGAGAUUUCAAGUCCCAUGUGUUGGAGGAGAUUGCUAGUUGGCAGGCAUCACACUGCUAUAAACGAAUAGAAGUGACUCAGCUUCAAGCGGUAAUUUUUUCACUAUAAUUGAUUGCCAUCUGACCUCACCAGUUGGAACCCAUACUGCCUCAGCUGAUGACCCUUAGUUUAAUGUUUGAGAGCUAAAUUAUCAGGUUUGUCAGCUGGAUGGAAGAACAUUAACUAUCAUGUACUUUUGUUGCUGAAUUGGGGGCAAUUGCUGAUGAAAAGCAAAGGAAUCUAAUCAGGCAGACCAACUGCAAGGAUCUAAUCUAAAAGAAAAUGCUUUCUGAUAUGUACUGUUGGGAAGUUCACGAAUACAAGGGAUACCAGGUUGCUUUGGAGUCAAAAAUCAUGAGGCUUAUCAUUUUUGUUCAGAUGUAUUGGUCUGAGAACUGGAAUCCAUGGAUCAGAUACCUACUGAAGGAUUUCAUACUGAUCACAACUGUGCCCCUUGGAAGUGCCCAUACUGAAUUCAAAGGUUUAUUCAGAUCCAGAACUAGAGUACAGACAACUAGUAAACAGAUGGAAUAUUGAGAUAUACUGCAAGCUUUUAAUAUAGGAACAGAAAAGUGAUAGUGUUUCAUCAUCAUACUGGCAAGGUCAUCUGGGGGAGUGAAGAAUUAGCUUUAUGUCCCAGCUGCAUCCUAAAUGGAAAGCUCAGAUUCAAGAUGUAAACAACAAAUUAGCUGGUUAUGUUAGGGCAACACACUAAAAAAAAAUAGGAAAAGGGAACCAGAAAAUGAAUAUUUGCACAUCUGGAGCUGAAUCAGGUUGAUUAACAAUGACUCAACUCUUCAGGAUUUCAAGACUUGGAAGACUGCAAUUCUGGAUCUAGCAAUUCUGGAUCUAGGGUGGGGAGAUAAGUGUCUCCACCUCUCCCCUUCAUGGAUCUAGCAAUUCUGACUCCCACUGAGGAUCUACAUGACACCAACUUCUCCAUUUCCCCCGAGUUCCUGAAUUGUUCAUUGGAUAUCAGAGUUUGCAGCUUCCUGCGGCCCCACAAAUUUCCCGAGGACGCAUUUGCUGCAUCACGACAAGAACGACAUGUCUGCUGG
Musa acuminata AAA Group (dessert banana) is the source of this 3671-nucleotide RNA transcript. RefSeq lists it as uncharacterized. NCBI's taxonomy places the organism in Eukaryota, Viridiplantae, Streptophyta, Magnoliopsida, Zingiberales, Musaceae. The transcript has 8 exons. The record is from RefSeq and is a predicted model, not a curated record.